UAAUGAAUCUUGGUCAAUGGACGCAAGUCUGAACCAGCCAUGCCGCGUGAAGGAUGAAGGUCCUCUGGAUUGUAAACUUCUUUUAUCUGGGACGAAAAAAGGGAAUUCUUUCUCACUUGACGGUACCAGAGGAAUAAGCACCGGCUAACUCCGUGCCAGCAGCCGCGGUAAUACGGAGGGUGCAAGCGUUAUCCGGAUUCACUGGGUUUAAAGGGAGCGUAGGUGGGCUUGUAAGUCAGUGGUGAAAUCUCCGAGCUUAACUCGGAAACUGCCAUUGAUACUAUAGGUCUUGAAUUAUCUGGAGGUAAGCGGAAUAUGUCAUGUAGCGGUGAAAUUCUUAGAUAUGACAUAGAACACCAAUUGCGAAGGCAGCUUACUACACAAUCAUUGACGCUGAGGCACGAAAGCGUGGGGAUCAAACA
RNAcentral lists this ribosomal RNA (422 nucleotides) under uncultured bacterium. RNAcentral describes it as "bacterial SSU rRNA". It matches the Rfam family "Bacterial small subunit ribosomal RNA", at positions 355 to 774 of the family's 1533-position model. The record is from RNAcentral.